ACGGCCAUGCACCACCAUCCACUGAAUCGAGAAAGAGCUAUCAAUCUGUCAAUCCUCGCAACUGUUCGGACCGGGUGAGUUGCCCAGUGUUGAGUCAAAUUAAGCCACAGGCUCCACUCCUGGUGGUGCCCUUCCGUCAAUUCCUUUAAGUUUCAGUUUUGCAACCAUACUUCCCCUAGAGCCCAAAAGUUUUGGUUUCCCGAGGUGGCUGCCUGCCGAGUCAUGCGGAUCUAACUUCGACAGAUUGUCAUCUGGCAUCGUUUACGGUCAGAACUACGACGGUAUCUGAUCGUCUUCGAGCCUCUAACUUUCGUUCCUGACUAAUGAAAACGCACUUGACAAACGCUUUCGCUGCCGUCCGUCUUACGACGAUCGUAGAAUUUCACCUCUCCCGUCGUAAUACGAAUGCCCCCGGCCGCUCUUAUUAGUCAUUACCUCGGACUCAUCGAAGCCAACAAAAUGAGCCGAGGUCAUCUUUCAUUAUUCCAUGCAACUUUAUGCGACCAUAGGAAUGGACCGCCGUGAACACUCUAUUUUUUUCAAAGUAAACGACGCCAGGACACCGUAAGCGGUCAGUGAAGACCACCUCGGCGCACACGGCUUGUGUAGUACAGUCACAAGGAUGCACCGUCAAGUGCACCUCGUUUCUGCGGCUGAGAUCCAACUACGAGCCUUUUAACUACAGCAACUUUAAUAUAUGCCAUCGGAGCUGGAAUUACCGCGGCUGCUGGCACCAGGCUUGCCCUCCAAUUGAUCCUUGGCAAAGGAUUUAAAGUAUACUCAUUCCAAUGCCGGAGCCUCGACAGAGUCCCGUAUUGGUAUUUUUCGUCACUACCUCCCCGUGUCGGGAAUGGGUAAGUUGCGUGCCUGCUGCCUUCCUUGGACGUGGUAGCCGUUUCUCAUGCUCCCUCUCCGGAAUCAAACCCAUGAUUCCCCGCUACCCGUGGUAGCCUAGGUGGUCAGGUCGACCACCUACUAGCUGAUAAGGCAGAUACUUUUUGAAUUUGUCGCUGGUCACAGACCUAGCGAUCAGCAGCGUUAUCCAGAGUCACCAUCGACGAGACGAAUCUCGGUGGUUUCAACUAAUAAAGGCGCUCCGACCGAGGGUCGGAGCUUCGUUGCAUGUAUUAGCUCUAGAAUUGCCACAGUUAUCCACGUAGGAUUCGUACAAUCCAGAAAAUUAUAACUGAUCUAAUGAGCCAUUCGCAGUUUCUCUUUGUAUCGAUCGUACU
RNAcentral lists this ribosomal RNA (1232 nucleotides) under Cocculinidae sp. HV-2014. Its description in RNAcentral is "partial 18S ribosomal RNA". The record is from RNAcentral. Lineage: Eukaryota; Metazoa; Mollusca; Gastropoda; Cocculinidae.